AAGAUAAAAGACGAAUAAUGGAGGUGGAACAGACAAGAAGGAAGGAGGGAAGAAGAACAGUGAGACGAAAACUGGCGGUGAAGCAGACGAGGAGGACGAGGGAGGUAAGGAAGACAGCGAGAAGAGGUGGAACAUGAAGAGAAAGGAAGAUAAAAGACGAAUAAUGGAGGUGGAACAGACGAGAAGGAAGAUGAAAGACUCAUAAUGGCGGUGGAACAGACGAAAUGGCUCCCACAGCGGCAAAGGUAAGCUCUCAACCAACCAGUUUCUGCCCAUCCUCCAAGGGGCCCCUGGCAGGGCUUGCACUGUGCUCAUAGCCAGAGUCACACUGAGCACCGGAUCAUCCAGAAACCUCAGCACCACUGCCAGACUCCAUACAGUGUGUGGCGUGAUGACAGGAGCAGGAACAAGAUCGUCAGGAGCAAGUGAAAGAAAGAGGUGGAAGAGGCCAAGGGAACAUACUAUCCCAACCCAACCAAGUCACCACCACAGCCCAGGAACCAGUCCACCAUCACCACUACACCUGUGUGGGUUCAGGUAUCCUCAUCACAGGUGUCAGAAUACAGGUGGAUAUGGACAAGGUCACAGGACAAGUGAUCCACACCCACUUGUCUUCUCACCUGUGCUGCACCUGUAUUCUGGCACCUUUAUGGUUGACUAUGAGAGUGGCAGCUGGAUUUGAGUCCAGUAGCAUUAUAGACUUUCUAAAUAUCACUGGCUUAUUUAUGCCUGCAAGGUGUUGGGCCAAAGAAUAUUAUAUUACCUUAAAAUUACUAUUCUUCAUGGUGCAGUGGUCAGCGUGUCCAGCUACAAAUCCACGGUUCAGGAUUUGAAUCUUGGCCCGGGCAGUCGGCGUGAAGCUCACCCAGCUGUUCAUCCUCCCUUUUGGGCUGGUUGAUAAAUGGGUACCUGAGGAAACCUGGGGAAAGGAAGCUGUAGUAGCCUGGAUGUCACAAUGGCCCGUGUCUCGGGGUAAUUGAUUCUUACCCACCACAGGCUCAAGGGCCAAAUUUUACCUUUACUUAAGUGUGACAUUACGGUUACCAUAGUUUACCUUCCCCAGGUACCCAUUUAUCGACCAGCCCAAAAGGGAGGAUGAACAGCUGGGUGAGCUGCAUGCCGACUGCCUGAGCCAAGACUCAAACCCAGACCUGUGAAUAUAUAGUUAGGCACGCUACCCACUGCACUGCAAAUUAAAGGUAAUGUAAUAUUCUUUAGCCUCGCACCUUGCAGGGACAAAUAAUUCAAUGAUAUUUGAGUAAGUAUUAACUACUGUUCCCAAAUCCAGCUGCCAUACCUGUAGAUAGUCACCCAUUAUGGUGUCAGAUUACAGGCGCUAAUGACUCGGGUGCAGCACAGAUGAGAAAACAAGUGUGGGGAUGAGCUGUCCAGUAACCACCUUCCCUUUCACCUGUACAGACAGUUCCCACCAUCACACCACCUUUGUUGUCUGACACUUGUGAAGAGGAUACCUGGUAAAAAAUGAAUGUAGAUAAACCAAAUGUAGAGUAUAAUAAACAAUCUGAUUCUCUUAGUUAUAUAAACUACUUAUCCCCAGCAACCACUUUCAAGGAAAUUAAUCCACUACAUAUGUAGAAUACAGACCUGUGCCUGUCUGUUCCUCCGGCCAGAGUAGAUGGAAAGGCAAUAGUUCUCCUUGGCCUCUGUGGAAAGGCUGUGAGGCAGAGUAUAGUGUGUAGUCUUCCAUUCAAGUACCGAGUCUUUAGUUGAAAGUAAUCAAGUAGUCUUUGAUUGGAAUAUAAAGACAUCAUUGCUCACUUUUUUUUCUUGCUCGACCAAGCCAUUGCCUGGAAAACCUGACAACUCUUCGGUCUCCUCUGCAUCUGUUUAUCAAGCCGGUGCAAAGGUAACUGAAAUCAAGCUUCCAAUGCUAAUGUGUUAACUCGGCAUGCUAUGACUGUAUCAGCUUUGUUUUUUAUGUAAAUGAACUUAGAACAUCUGUUGACAUGUAAUACCUCUGAAACAGUCCAUCAGGUGAGAGUAAUUUUGUUAGAUUCAAUUUUGGAACCCUGGCUGGAAGUUGACUUCGUGCUUAACGAAAACCACCUUCCCAUAGAGGUGAGUGUAAGGGAUUUACACUACUGUAAAGGCCCAAAAGUCUCAUCCCAGGCAGUCCCUCUUGGGCUGUGGACAGACUGCCGGCCCUGCGUCUCCUAGGCCUCAGGUUUGAUACCAGUAACAGGAACAGUGAUAUCUCCCUUACUCCCCCCCUCCCCCUGCAAGGCUAAAUUAACUUCUAAUGCAUGUCAGAAUGAGAAGAAAAUAAAACUUUACCUCAUCUUGUCGGUCCAUUACACCAGCAUCUCCCUGAAAGCGUCCCAAGUAAAGUAAACAACAAAACACGCUUCUCUCACCUGACAAACUGUUUCAGAGGUACUACAUGCCAACAAUUUAUUCUAAGUCAACUUUUUCCCCAAAUGAGGCUGACCUAGUCAAAAUUUACUUUUCAACAGUUUUAGUAUUGCUAUAAAGUGGCACAUGAAUGAAAAACUCCUGUAACACCAUAGCUCUGGCAUCACAACCCCCGAACAGGAACCCUUUACGAACAUCAGUAAAAGACAGUACAAAUGAGCUGGGGAGUUAAGUCUGUCUGAUAUAUAAAAUGAUGAAUGGGUAAAUUCACAGAACAGAACCACACGAUGCAGUUCCCAAACACUUCUUCAUCCAGGGACCUUUGGCACUACUGUUUGUCUCCCCUACAGCAGCAUCAUGCCUACAGAACACUUUCUCUCUCCCUCAGGUAACAGUCCAAGCCCAGUAAGGUAAGCAGCAAGACAACAGACUGACUUACUGUGAUGCAAGACCCAGAAAUUAACAUGAAUAAAUGCCAGAACCAUGAAAGGAUAUGUUCACAGAUUCAUAUGCUCCAUUCCAACUGAGGCUCACAUAAUAAAAAUAAUAAAAAAUGUGAAUAAAGAAAAAGGAAAAUGGAGUUGGUUUAAAUUAAAAUCUUGUCAAAAUAAACUGUUGAAUAUUAUUUACUGUGACUAUUUUUAUGCCUACAUCUCAACUACCAGCAACUCAUCCUCAACCCCUACAGUCUCCUCCUCAACCUCCCACACCUCCUUCUUAACAUCCCACACCUCCUCCUCAACCCCCCAUAAUCUCCUUUUAUAUAUGGACUCUUGCCUAUUAGUGAACAUACCCGAGCAAACACCAACUGGGCUGAGACUGUUAACCCUUUCCAUCCAUGACGCAGACGUUGGCAUCACAGUAUGGAAAGGGUCAAGAGGAAAUGGAAGAGGAUUAAUCCUCUUCUAAACCUCUCAAUCCUCCUCUACAUUCCUCUUCCAUAUCCUCUUAAGAGGUUUAGAAGAGGAUUAAGAUGGACGCCUGUCGGACGCUGACGUCAGUGUUGCCAAAGUGAAGGGGUUAAGCGGCAAGUCAACAGAUUACAGCUUGUGGAGUGGCAGGGAAGGCAGGAUUUAAGAAGUAACUGUUUGAACUAAGGCAGCACAGCAUAAUGGCAUUUGACAUUAUUUAAAGGCAGCAUUUUACGGUAGAACACAGCUUAGUCCUAUCAACACCUGCCUUCCAUGCCUCUUUCCACCUGAAGGAGACUACAGGCAAAUCACUACACCCCAUCUACACCUCCAUCUAUCCUUUUGCCUGUACCAACAACAUGAAAAAAACACCUCCACCUUUGGAACAAUUUCCUGAUGCAGUUACAGGUAAAGUUCAUAAUUUCCAACCACCUGUUUAUCAUAUUCUUAGGUUACUUAUAUUAUAUUAUACUGAAAAGUUCUUAUGAUUUCUUUCAAUCCUACUCUCUACGGAAACCUUUGAUAAUUCGCUUCUGACGAUAAGCUGUAGGCAUUAGGCAAGAAGUAAUUUAAUAAGUCAUCAAGUUAUCAUGCCUUAUCUCAUUAUUCAUAUUAAACCUUCACUCCUGCAAAAUAAAGGUGAAGGUGUCUUUCUUUAGCCUAUCAGUACCACCUCUGCUCCCCCUCUUCCUUCUACUUCUAC
Eriocheir sinensis (Chinese mitten crab) is the source of this 3987-nucleotide long non-coding RNA. RefSeq lists it as uncharacterized. The record is from RefSeq and is a predicted model, not a curated record. The transcript has 3 exons. Lineage: Eukaryota; Metazoa; Arthropoda; Malacostraca; Decapoda; Varunidae.